AAAUAUCUUGCUUAUACAUCUGAAAGCUAAGAAAUUUAAGAAAACUUUCAAAAUAUUUUUAUAGUCACCUGUGCAGUCCAGUAAUGUAGUGCAGAUACUUGUAGCCUGAGAACAUAUAUAUUACAUUUGAUGUCAGUGAGGACGUGAAUGUUUUCAGCUACCAGUAAGGAAUUUCCUUGGUGUUUCACAAAUAGAAUCAAUUGCUUGGAAAGUUUUCAACGAUGCAGAAGUGCUCCUAUGUCUGCUUCCUUUCUGUUUUUCCGCUACAGUUUGUUGGGAGGAAAGAGCAAAGAGAAAUAGAAGCACCAUCAUCUGCAUGAUCUGCAUGUCUAUUCCUUUAAGAGUAGCAAGAAAAAAAAUAGGAAAGUAUCAGCUAUAUAAUUCAUAUAAACUUUGAUUCUGUUUCAGCUUAAAUUUUAGCUACAUCUAUAUUUAAACCAUAGCAAAAAUAAGGUCAGCCUUUGAAUACUGUAAAUGUAAAUCAGACUGGCAGAAGCUGGACUACAGUAAAUUAAAGAGCAGCUACAUGGAAUAUUGAAUAGAUUUUGAUCCUGAUAUAAAAUAGAUAUUUUAUUUAUGAAAUGUAUUAACUUAUUAAGAACUCACUUAUGAGCCUGGAUGCAAGGCUAAAUGAAAAGCCUGAGUUUAUCUGCAUCAGUAGGUGAGGUAAAACUGCAUGGAUGGAUGGAUAAGCAGACAGAUAGGUAGAGAUGCAGAAAAAUUAUUAUUUUUUGUUCUACUCAGUACUUCUACCUGAGAAGUUAAUAGAUAAAAAAAGGCAGGGUCAAUGUCUAGUGACUAUUCAAUUUUCAGUUGGUUGAACUUGUGACUAGCUUUAGCAGUACAGAAUGCCAGUGAUACCUCCCUCUUUUCCACCAGAAAUCAUUCCCUUUACUCCAGGCCAUUUGGUACAGAUAAUUUCAUACCCUCAUGUGGAGGUGUCCUCAUAUAGCCACAUGCCCUGGAGGAUGAAGGAUUCUUUGCCCAGAACACCCUUUGUUUGCUCUGUGUUGGAAACCAUGGGUUCUAGUUCCAUGACUGGAACUAGGAAUUACACAAAUUUAAGGAAGCAGAAGCUUGGAGUUCCAUACGGCAUAAUUUACUUAUCUCCAUGGAAGUGGAUGAAUACCUGCCUGCCAAUGGGAAGUAGCAAAUAAAUUUCUGUUUUUGCCUUGCUCGUGCAUGCAUCUUUUUCUUUCACUAGUAAUCUGUUUUUACUUCAUCCCAUGAGUUUACACACUUUCACCUUUCCAGUUCUCACCUACCUCUCACCUGGGACACAAAGACAAAUGUCUUUGUGGUGCUCAGCUGUCCACUGGGAUGAAACAACAACAGAUAGGGAAAGAAUUGGUAAUUCAAUGAUUAAAGUUGCUUUCUAGGUUGAAGAAAACAGUAAUUCAAAUUUUUACCUCAAUGUAUUUAUAAUUACUGACACAAGUGAGCUCAUCCUAAAAUAAUCAAUAAAAAAUGGCUAGAAAAUCCUUGACCUGGA
This 1492-nucleotide long non-coding RNA is filed under the name Anas platyrhynchos platyrhynchos (common mallard). RNAcentral's name for it is "lncRNA (ENSAPLG00000024340.1)". Lineage: Eukaryota; Metazoa; Chordata; Aves; Anseriformes; Anatidae. The record is from RNAcentral.